This is a non-coding RNA of Camellia sinensis, 735 nucleotides long. The record is from RefSeq and is a predicted model, not a curated record. NCBI's taxonomy places the organism in Eukaryota, Viridiplantae, Streptophyta, Magnoliopsida, Ericales, Theaceae.
AGAGGAGCGACAAAGAGAUCGGGAGGAGCUAUUGAAGGAGAAAGAGGAGCGACAAAGAGAUCGGGAGGAGCUAUUGAAGGAGAAAGAGGCGCGCGAAAGAGAUCGGGAGGAAAUUACGAGGGAAAGAAAGCAGCUAAUCAAACAAGUUGAUGAAGAAAAAAAAGCACGGGAGGCACAACAACUACAACUCAAUCAUCUAAACGACGUGGUGUCACGGCUCACAACCCUCUUGCCAGGUUCAGACGGUCAUCCUACUAUUCGGUUAUGAGGCAUCAUGUGAGUAGACAUUGCAGCAGCCGACCUGGUGUUUUGAUACAUUACAGAAACGACCGUACGCUGAUUUCUAUAAGAUGGCUUUUGGCAUUGACAUGUGGAUCUUCUAAUUUUUUCUCGGAAGAUACACAAGCUGGGAAAGUUGGGAAGUUUUUUGUCGUCCUAUACUUUUUGCUGUGGACUAUGGAUGCAUCGAACAUAUAAUUUUUGACAGGGUACAAAGUAUUUUUGGAGCUUGUAUUAAUUAAUGAACCGUGGAAUUUGGAUGCAUCGUACAUAUAAUUUAUGGUGGGGUACAUAAUAUUUUUGGAGCUUGUAUUACCUUUUGUCGUGGUACAUAUUACCAUAGUAAUUUGUACCUUGUCAAAUGGUCAUUACAAUGCAUAGUAUAGUAAAAAUGUUGUGUAUAGAGGACAUAAUUUUGGUAACGUAUUUGGAAUGUAUGAUGUUAUUAUUUGUAAU